RNAcentral lists this long non-coding RNA (303 nucleotides) under Solanum tuberosum (potato). RNAcentral's name for it is "long non-coding RNA (STUB_LNC002648)". The record is from RNAcentral. Lineage: Eukaryota; Viridiplantae; Streptophyta; Magnoliopsida; Solanales; Solanaceae.
AAGUGGUCACAAUCUAAGAAAUAAAAUUAUAUGGGUAGGGUCAGAAUGAUGUCACAACCCAACUAGAAAAUAGAAAUAAUAUAGGAUAGUUCGAAUUGAUGGAACGACCCUAUUGAAAAAGAGAAAUAAUAUGGGUAGGGUCGGAAUGAUGGCACGACCCUGCUGAAAAAGAAAAAUUAUACGGGUAGGGUUGGAAUGAUGGCACAACCCUACGCAAAUCAGAUUUGAGGAGUCACCGGAAAGACGAAUGGAACUAUACAAAUCAAAUCUGAGGAGUCACUGAAAAGACACAUGAUGCUAUGC